CCUACGGGUGGCAGCAGUAGGGAAUCUUCCACAAUGGGCGCAAGCCUGAUGGAGCAACACCGCGUGAGUGAAGAAGGGUUUCGGCUCGUAAAGCUCUGUUGUUGAAGAAGAACGUGCAUGAGAGUAACUGUUCAUGCAGUGACGGUAUUCAACCAGAAAGUCACGGCUAACUACGUGCCAGCAGCCGCGGUAAUACGUAGGUGGCAAGCGUUAUCCGGAUUUAUUGGGCGUAAAGAGAGUGCAGGCGGUUUCUUAAGUCUGAUGUGAAAGCCUUCGGCUCAACCGAAGAAGUGCAUCGGAAACUGGGAAACUUGAGUACAGAAGAGGGCAGUGGAACUCCAUGUGUAGCGGUGGAAUGCGUAGAUAUAUGGAAGAACACCAGUGGCGAAGGCGGCUGCCUGGUCUGUAACUGACGCUGAGACUCGAAAGCAUGGGUAGCGAACAGGAUUAGAUACCCGGGUAGUC
This 465-nucleotide ribosomal RNA is filed under the name uncultured Lactobacillus sp. Its description in RNAcentral is "bacterial SSU rRNA". It matches the Rfam family "Bacterial small subunit ribosomal RNA", at positions 338 to 795 of the family's 1533-position model. Lineage: Bacteria; Bacillati; Bacillota; Bacilli; Lactobacillales; Lactobacillaceae. The record is from RNAcentral.